ACCAGACUCCUACGGGAGGCAGCAGUGGGGAAUAUUGCACAAUGGGGGAAACCCUGAUGCAGCGACGCCGCGUGAGUGAAGAAGUAUUUCGAUAUGUAAAGCUCUAUCAGCAGGGAAGAAAAUGACGGUACCUGACUAAGAAGCCCCGGCUAACUACGUGCCAGCAGCCGCGGUAAUACGUAGGGGGCAAGCGUUAUCCGGAUUUACUGGGUGUAAAGGGAGCGUAGACGGCAUGGCAAGUCAGAUGUGAAAGCCCGGGGCUCAACCCCGGGACUGCAUUUGAAACUGUUUUUCUUGAGUACUGGAGAGGCAGACGGAAUUCCUAGUGUAGCGGUGAAAUGCGUAGAUAUUAGGAGGAACACCAGUGGCGAAGGCGGUCUGCUGGACAGCAACUGACGCUGAGGCGCGAAAGCGUGGGGAGCAAACAGGAUUAGAUACCCGAGUAU
Molecule: ribosomal RNA, 446 nt
Filed under: uncultured bacterium
Lineage: Bacteria
Description: bacterial SSU rRNA
Rfam family: Bacterial small subunit ribosomal RNA
Source: RNAcentral